Molecule: ribosomal RNA, 888 nt
Filed under: Bacillus licheniformis
Lineage: Bacteria; Bacillati; Bacillota; Bacilli; Caryophanales; Bacillaceae
Description: bacterial SSU rRNA
Rfam family: Bacterial small subunit ribosomal RNA
Source: RNAcentral
ACCUUGACGGUACCUAACCAGAAAGCCACGGCUAACUACGUGCCAGCAGCCGCGGUAAUACGUAGGUGGCAAGCGUUGUCCGGAAUUAUUGGGCGUAAAGCGCGCGCAGGCGGUUUCUUAAGUCUGAUGUGAAAGCCCCCGGCUCAACCGGGGAGGGUCAUUGGAAACUGGGGAACUUGAGUGCAGAAGAGGAGAGUGGAAUUCCACGUGUAGCGGUGAAAUGCGUAGAGAUGUGGAGGAACACCAGUGGCGAAGGCGACUCUCUGGUCUGUAACUGACGCUGAGGCGCGAAAGCGUGGGGAGCGAACAGGAUUAGAUACCCUGGUAGUCCACGCCGUAAACGAUGAGUGCUAAGUGUUAGAGGGUUUCCGCCCUUUAGUGCUGCAGCAAACGCAUUAAGCACUCCGCCUGGGGAGUACGGUCGCAAGACUGAAACUCAAAGGAAUUGACGGGGGCCCGCACAAGCGGUGGAGCAUGUGGUUUAAUUCGAAGCAACGCGAAGAACCUUACCAGGUCUUGACAUCCUCUGACAACCCUAGAGAUAGGGCUUCCCCUUCGGGGGCAGAGUGACAGGUGGUGCAUGGUUGUCGUCAGCUCGUGUCGUGAGAUGUUGGGUUAAGUCCCGCAACGAGCGCAACCCUUGAUCUUAGUUGCCAGCAUUCAGUUGGGCACUCUAAGGUGACUGCCGGUGACAAACCGGAGGAAGGUGGGGAUGACGUCAAAUCAUCAUGCCCCUUAUGACCUGGGCUACACACGUGCUACAAUGGGCAGAACAAAGGGCAGCGAAGCCGCGAGGCUAAGCCAAUCCCACAAAUCUGUUCUCAGUUCGGAUCGCAGUCUGCAACUCGACUGCGUGAAAGCUGGAAUCGCUAGUAAUUCGCGGAUCAG